UUCAUUACAUGCUCUCAUGAAAUGCAUCACAUCACAAAUAUAUCAUCUCACGGAUGAACUUGUCACCAAUAGCCCUCUACUACAUGUCACAAUAUGUCCCACUGUGCCAAGGAGACAAAGUCAUCACCUGGACUACUCUUAUCUAUCUCAUAACAUAACAUGUCCCACUGUGCCAAGGAGACGAAGUCAUCACCUGGACUAUUCUUAUCUCUGCUCUGACAGCCCAGCUGUCUAACUCAUAGUACCAGGAGCGACCCGGACUAUCCAGGGGCGACCUGGUAUGGCUAUCUCAUGCCAUAUCUCAUAUGCUCUCAGAGUAUCACAACUGAUAUCAAGGGCUAUGGAUCACUCAACAUUCAUCCACACAAAUAACAUCUUAUGCAAUGCAGCAUAUUCGUGGAUUCUAAUGCAACACAACCUAAUACAUAACAUGGCAUUUUAUGAUGCAUGGAUCAUGCUAGAAACGUGUCAUUUCUCAAUUUAAAAUAUUAAGUUUAGUUCCACUCACCUCUGCUCUUCAAGCAGAUACUGACUGAUUCUGCAACUACUACUCCUGAUGACCUCCUCGAUCUCUCGGGUCCAAUCCUACACAUAUGGACUCGAGUGAGGUAUCAAACAUACUCUGAAUAACUCAUAAACAAUUCCCCAAAACCCCUCUAAAAGCUCUUAGAACAAUCACAUAAAACAUGCAAAAGAAGGCUGGACAGAACAUUUUCGGCAGCAGGUUCGGCGGCCGAAUGUCCUAUCCAGAGCCGAAACUCAAGCACCUUCGGCGGCCGAAUCUCUACUUUCGGCGGCCGAACCC
Molecule: long non-coding RNA, 805 nt
Filed under: Manihot esculenta (cassava)
Lineage: Eukaryota; Viridiplantae; Streptophyta; Magnoliopsida; Malpighiales; Euphorbiaceae
Description: long non-coding RNA (MESC_LNC010011)
Source: RNAcentral